Capsicum annuum is the source of this 79-nucleotide non-coding RNA. The record is from Rfam. Lineage: Eukaryota; Viridiplantae; Streptophyta; Magnoliopsida; Solanales; Solanaceae.
AGGAGCCGUGUGAGAUGAAAGUCUCAUGCACGGUUUUGAAUGAGAGAAAGAAGAUUCCUCACUUCUUUUCGACUCUGAC